CGGGGCGUAGCGUAGGUGGCUAGCGCGCCGGCUUCGGGAGCCGGAGGUCACCGGUUCAAGUCCGGUCGCCCCGA
RNAcentral lists this transfer RNA (74 nucleotides) under Candidatus Calescibacteriota bacterium. RNAcentral describes it as "Candidatus Calescamantes bacterium (hot springs metagenome) tRNA-Pro". It matches the Rfam family "tRNA". Rfam says of the family: Transfer RNA (tRNA) molecules are approximately 80 nucleotides in length. Their secondary structure includes four short double-helical elements and three loops (D, anti-codon, and T loops). RNAcentral also lists the same sequence under 1 other name. The record is from RNAcentral. Lineage: Bacteria; Candidatus Calescibacteriota.